CGUGAGUGAAGAAGGGUUUCGGCUCGUAAAACUCUGUUGUUAAAGAAGAACAUAUCUGAGAGUAACUGUUCAGGUAUUGACGGUAUUUAACCAGAAAGCCACGGCUAACUACGUGCCAGCAGCCGCGGUAAUACGUAGGUGGCAAGCGUUGUCCGGAUUUAUUGGGCGUAAAGCGAGCGCAGGCGGUUUUUUAAGUCUGAUGUGAAAGCCUUCGGCUUAACCGAAGAAGUGCAUCGGAAACUGGGAAACUUGAGUGUAGAAGAGGACAGUGGAACUCCAUGUGUAGCGGUGAAAUGCGUAGAUAUAUGGAAGAACACCAGUGGCGAAGGCGGCUGUCUGGUCUGUAACUGACGCUGAGGCUCGAAAGUAUGGGUAGCAAACAGGAUUAGAUACCCUGGUAGUCCAUACCGUAAACGAUGAAUGCUAAGUGUUGGAGGGUUUCCGCCCUUCAGUGCUGCAGCUAACGCAUUAAGCAUUCCGCCUGGGGAGUACGGCCGCAAGGCUGAAACUCAAAGGAAUUGACGGGGGCCCGCACAAGCGGUGGAGCAUGUGGUUUAAUUCGAAGCUACGCGAAGAACCU
Molecule: ribosomal RNA, 580 nt
Filed under: Lactiplantibacillus plantarum
Lineage: Bacteria; Bacillati; Bacillota; Bacilli; Lactobacillales; Lactobacillaceae
Description: bacterial SSU rRNA
Rfam family: Bacterial small subunit ribosomal RNA
Source: RNAcentral